UAACGCGUGAGCAACCAACCUUCUGCAGUGGGACAACAAUUAGAAAUGAUUGCUAAUACCGCAUAAGACCACAGCAUCGCAUGGUGCAGUGAGAAAAGCUGAGGCGGCAGAAGACGGGCUCGCGUUCGAUUAGCUGGAUGGUGAGGUAACGGCUCACCAUGGCGACGAUCGAUAGCCGGACUGAGAGGUCGACCGGCCACAUUGGGACUGAGACACGGCCCAGACUCCUACGGGAGGCAGCAGUGGGGAAUAUUGCACAAUGGGGGAAACCCUGAUGCAAGCGACGCCGCGUGAGUGAUGAAGUAUUUCGGUAUGUAAAGCUCUUUUAGCAGGGAAGAAAAUGACAGUACCUGAAGAAACAGCCCCGGCUAACUACGUGCCAGCCGCAGC
This 390-nucleotide ribosomal RNA is filed under the name uncultured bacterium. RNAcentral's name for it is "bacterial SSU rRNA". It matches the Rfam family "Bacterial small subunit ribosomal RNA", at positions 111 to 518 of the family's 1533-position model. The record is from RNAcentral.